Molecule: ribosomal RNA, 253 nt
Filed under: uncultured bacterium
Lineage: Bacteria
Description: partial 16S ribosomal RNA
Rfam family: Bacterial small subunit ribosomal RNA
Source: RNAcentral
UACGUAGGUCGCAAGCGUUGUCCGGAUUUACUGGGCGUAAAGAGCGCGCAGGCGGCUGGUCAAGUCCGAUGUGAAAUCUCCCGGCUUAACUGGGAAACUGCAUCGGAAACUGAUCGGCUUGAAGGUGGGAGAGGAAUGCGGAAUUCCAGGUGUAGCGGUGAAAUGCGUAGAUAUCUGGAGGAACACCGGUGGCGAAGGCGGCUUUCUGGGUCUUACCUGACGCUGAGGAACGAAAGCCAGGGGAGCGAACGGG